RNAcentral lists this ribosomal RNA (248 nucleotides) under uncultured bacterium. RNAcentral's name for it is "partial 16S ribosomal RNA". It matches the Rfam family "Bacterial small subunit ribosomal RNA", at positions 84 to 334 of the family's 1533-position model. The record is from RNAcentral.
AAGAGAUGCGACCGGCGCACGGUGAGUAACACGUAUCCAACCUGCCGAUAACUCCGGAAUAGCCUUUCGAAAGAAAGAUUAAUACCGGAUGGCAUACGAAUAUCGCAUGAUAUUUUUAUUAAAGAAUUUCGGUUAUCGAUGGGGAUGCGUUCCAUUAGUUUGUUGGCGGGGUAACGGCCCACCAAGACUACGAUGGAUAGGGGUUCUGAGAGGAAGGUCCCCCACAUUGGAACUGAGACACGGUCCAA